CCAUCUGGAGGACACCAGGAUGGCAAAGACAUAGGUCAGUCUUUGCCAUUCUGCUUUCCUCCAGAUAG
This is a non-coding RNA of Podarcis lilfordi (Lilford's wall lizard), 68 nucleotides long. NCBI's taxonomy places the organism in Eukaryota, Metazoa, Chordata, Lepidosauria, Squamata, Lacertidae. The record is from the annotation of a GenBank genome assembly.